Long non-coding RNA from Drosophila montana, 1363 nucleotides. RefSeq lists it as uncharacterized. Lineage: Eukaryota; Metazoa; Arthropoda; Insecta; Diptera; Drosophilidae. The record is from RefSeq and is a predicted model, not a curated record. The transcript is spliced from 3 exons.
CAGAUUAUUAGACUUAUGAAUUGCUUUCUUAACACUUACCGAAGCCAUAAUAAACAUGAUUGAACCAAAUAGACGCAGGCUGCGAUUGUAGCGCUGUUCCAGAUACUACGUUGGGAUUUAAAUAGAGACUGUUGAGUCGCAUUGGGAACUUUCAAUCGAUAGCUAAGCACAUACCUUGCCCAUUAGCACUAGGGAGCCCAUAAUGUACAGAUACUGAGCACCGUACAGGUAAACCUCGGUGGGUGUGCCCAGCAGUGUGAUGCCCGAUAUGAAGCUGUGAAGAAUAGAAGAGGAAACUGCUGGUAGUUCGCUAGCUCAGCAAUCUACUUGAUAAAUUCUCGCAAAGCUGUUUAUUAUUUCUAAUUUUUGCUUGGCAAUCAGAGGCGACAAGUUCGUCUAUUUGAAACGUAGCAUUCACCUGCCCAUUGUCUUGGGCAUCCAAUUGGGGAACUCGGCGUGAAUUGAAAGUCUCGAGCGGACCCGCAGAUCAGCCCCACUGAAAUCCACACCCAGACUUUGUCUUUGGUUGGGCCUCUCUCGAGUGAUUUGGGGUGCCAAAUGUGUAGAAAUCGGUGGCGUAAAUUAACUUGAUUAGAUUUAGCGCGCAAAUUGAGCUCAGUAACUGGCGCGAGCUCUGCCUAUGUAGGCCGACGUGCAAAAGAGAUGGCAACAGGCUGUGUGAUAGAGAAAGCAAGAGCGAUGAGUGCGCCACACAAAUCGUGCCAGAUUUAGAAUGCGUAAUUUGCCAGAGCAUAUACAUAUACACACAAUAUGUGUUCAUAUAUAUGCAUAGUUCGUUCAGGACUUAAGUUAAUUUGUCGAAAUUUUGCGCAUAUAUAAGUAUAAUCUGAAAUUAGCUGCGACUUAAAAGAAUACGCGCAAGUCUUGGAAAUCCAUAUAAAACAAUUGAACUAUAAUAGUUAGACAGAUCUUGGCUUAAUAUACUUUUGUGUUGACCCUUUGAUUUUAUCUAUAUACACAUACAUAUGUUAUAAGAGCUUGCCCUGACUGAAUUGCUGAAAGAAUUACUCAAGCCGAAAGAGUCAGCACGGGAUUUUUGCAAAAUGCAACCUCCAAGUGGGGUCAAAGUUUGUAUGCAAAACAUUAUAAACAACACAUGUAAAUUAUAAGUUUUCUUUGCAAGCGUGAAGUCAUGAGCCUGUGUGACUCAGGUAUCUGAGCGUCGGACUCAAAAGCGAAAGGUCGCUGGUUGAAAUGCAGCAACAAUUCACAAUUCACAUAGACAAAUGUAUUUAUAUUGAUUAAAAUAACAACGGAGCAAUGAAUAAUUAAUAGGAGUUAACAGCUGAGCAUAAGCACGGCAUGAAGUUUAGGGUUCGAACGCCUGAGAAGACAGAAGACA